RNAcentral lists this ribosomal RNA (496 nucleotides) under uncultured bacterium. Its description in RNAcentral is "partial 16S ribosomal RNA". It matches the Rfam family "Bacterial small subunit ribosomal RNA", at positions 29 to 507 of the family's 1533-position model. The record is from RNAcentral.
AUGAACGCUGGCGGCGUGCCUAAUACAUGCAAGUCGAGCGAACGGACGAGAAGCUUGCUUUUCUGAUGUUAGCGGCGGACGGGUGAGUAACGCGUGGAUAACCUACCUAUAAGACUGGGAUAACUUCGGGAAACCGGAGCUAAUACCGGAUAAUAUUUUGAACCGCAUGGUUCAAAAGUGAAAGACGGUCUUGCUGUCACUUAUAGAUGGAUCCGCGCUGCAUUAGCUAGUUGGUAAGGUAACGGCUUACCAAGGCAACGAUGCAUAGCCGACCUGAGAGGGUGAUCGGCCACACUGGAACUGAGACACGGUCCAGACUCCUACGGGAGGCAGCAGUAGGGAAUCUUCCGCAAUGGGCGAAAGCCUGACGGAGCAACGCCGCGUGAGUGAUGAAGGUCUUCGGAUCGUAAAACUCUGUUAUUAGGGAAGAACAUAUGUGUAAGUAACUGUGCACAUCUUGACGGUACCUAAUCAGAAAGCCACGGCUAACUACGUG